This 403-nucleotide ribosomal RNA is filed under the name bacterium. Its description in RNAcentral is "partial 16S ribosomal RNA". It matches the Rfam family "Bacterial small subunit ribosomal RNA", at positions 355 to 776 of the family's 1533-position model. The record is from RNAcentral.
UGGGGAAUAUUGCACAAUGGGGGAAACCCUGAUGCAGCGACGCCGCGUGAACGAAGAAGGUAUUCGUAUCGUAAAGUUCUGUCCUAUGGGAAGAUAAUGACAGUACCAUAGAAGAAAGCUCCGGCUAAAUACGUGCCAGCAGCCGCGGUGAUACGUAUGGAGCGAGCGUUGUCCGGAAUUAUUGGGCGUAAAGGGUACGCAGGCGGUUUAAUAAGUCGAAUGUUAAAGAUCGGGGCUCAACCCCGUAAAGCAUUGGAAACUGAUAAACUUGAGUAGUGGAGAGGAAAGUGGAAUUCCUAGUGUAGUGGUGAAAUACGUAGAUAUUAGGAGGAAUACCAGUAGCGAAGGCGACUUUCUGGACACAAACUGACGCUGAGGUACGAAAGCGUGGGGAGCAAACAGG